GUCCCAGUUCGGAUUGUAGUCUGCAACCCGACUACAUGAAGCUGGAAUCGCUAGUAAUCGCGGAUCAGAAUGCCGCGGUGAAUACGUUCCCGGGUCUUGUACACACCGCCCGUCACACCAUGGGAGCCGGGAAUGCCCGAAGUCGGUGACCUAACCUUUAAGGGGGGGGCCGCCGAAGGCAGGUCUGGUAACUGGGGUGAAGUCGUAACAAGGUAUC
Molecule: ribosomal RNA, 217 nt
Filed under: uncultured bacterium
Lineage: Bacteria
Description: partial 16S ribosomal RNA
Rfam family: Bacterial small subunit ribosomal RNA
Source: RNAcentral